GACGAACGCUGGCGGCGUGCUUAACACAUGCAAGUCGAACGAAGUGGCGAACGGGUGAGUAACGCGUAAUCACCCUGCCCUUCAGAGGGGGACAACAGUUGGAAACGACUGCUAAUACAGCAUACUGAAGGAGGAGAUUGCGACUGCUUAGCGAGUGGGAGGGGUACCGGCCCACCAAGGCGAUGAUCAGUAGCCGGUCUGAGAGGAUGAACGGCCACACUGGGAAGGAGACACGGCCCAGACUCCUACGGGAGGCAGCAGUGGGGAAUCUUCCGAAAUUGACGAAAGGCUGACGGAGCAACGCCGCGUGAGUGAGGACGGCCUUCGGGUUGUAAAGCUCUGUUAAUCGGGACGCGGUACCGGAAUAGAAAGCCACGGCUAACUACGUGCCAGCCGCCGCGGUAAUUC
This 408-nucleotide ribosomal RNA is filed under the name uncultured bacterium. RNAcentral describes it as "partial 16S ribosomal RNA". It matches the Rfam family "Bacterial small subunit ribosomal RNA", at positions 28 to 526 of the family's 1533-position model. The record is from RNAcentral.